UACGAAGGGGGCUAGCGUUGUUCGGAAUUACUGGGCGUAAAGCGCACGUAGGCGGAUACUUAAGUCAGGGGUGAAAUCCCGGGGCUCAACCCCGGAACUGCCUUUGAUACUGGGUAUCUCGAGUCCGGAAGAGGUGAGUGGAAUUCUGAGUGUAGAGGUGAAAUUCGUAGAUAUUCGGAGGAACACCAGUGGCGAAGGCGGCUCACUGGUCCGGUACUGACGCUGAGGUGCGAAAGCGUGGGGAGCAAACAGG
This 253-nucleotide ribosomal RNA is filed under the name uncultured bacterium. RNAcentral's name for it is "partial 16S ribosomal RNA". It matches the Rfam family "Bacterial small subunit ribosomal RNA", at positions 524 to 776 of the family's 1533-position model. The record is from RNAcentral.